Long non-coding RNA from Rhinichthys klamathensis goyatoka, 249 nucleotides. RefSeq lists it as uncharacterized. The record is from RefSeq and is a predicted model, not a curated record. The transcript has 2 exons. Lineage: Eukaryota; Metazoa; Chordata; Actinopteri; Cypriniformes; Leuciscidae.
GCCAGAGGAGAACUGGCCCCCGACUGAGCCUGGGUUCUCCCAAGGUUUUUUUCUCCAUCCAAUCUGAUGGAGUUUUGGUUCCUUGCCACUGUCGCCUUGCUUUUGGCUUGCUUAGUUGGGGAUAUUUAAUAUUCAACAAUAUUAUUGAACUGUGUUGUACUACUUUAAUGUUAUCACUGUGAAGCUGCUUUGAUGCAAUCUGUAUUGUGAAAAGCGCUAUAUAAAUAAAUGUGACUUGACUUGACUUGA